This 753-nucleotide ribosomal RNA is filed under the name uncultured prokaryote. RNAcentral's name for it is "bacterial SSU rRNA". It matches the Rfam family "Bacterial small subunit ribosomal RNA", at positions 28 to 799 of the family's 1533-position model. The record is from RNAcentral.
GAUGAACGCUGACAGAAUGCUUAACACAUGCAAGUCGAUUCGAUUUACCUUCGGGUAUUGAGGAUGGCGGACGGGUGAGUAACGCGUAAGGAACUUGCCUCUUGGUCUGGGACAACUGUUGGAAACGACAGCUAAUACCGGAUAUUAUGAGAUUCUCGCAUGGGAAACUUAUGAAAGCUAUAUGCGCCAAGAGAGAGCCUUGCGUUCCAUUAGCUAGUUGGUGGGGUAACGGCCCACCAAGGCGACGAUGGAUAGCCGGCCUGAGAGGGUGAACGGCCACAAGGGGACUGAGACACGGCCCUUACUCCUACGGGAGGCAGCAGUGGGGAAUAUUGGACAAUGGGCCACAAGCCUGAUCCAGCAAUUCUGUGUGCACGAUGAAGGUCUUCGGAUUGUAAAGUGCUUUCAGUUGGGAAGAAGAAAGUGACGGUACCAACAGAAGAAGCGACGGCUAAAUACGUGCCAGCAGCCGCGGUAAUACGUAUGUCGCAAGCGUUAUCCGGAUUUAUUGGGCGUAAAGCGCGUCUAGGCGGAAAAAUAAGUCUGAUGUUAAAAUGCGGGGCUCAACUCCGUAUUGCGUUGGAAACUGUUUUUCUAGAGUACUGGAGAGGUGGGCGGAACUACAAGUGUAGAGGUGAAAUUCGUAGAUAUUUGUAGGAAUGCCGAUGGAGAAGUCAGCUCACUGGNNAGANACUGACGCUAAAGCGCGAAAGCNUGGGGAGCAAACAGGAUUAGAUACCCUGGUAGUCCACG